This 518-nucleotide ribosomal RNA is filed under the name Papilio bianor pinratanai. RNAcentral describes it as "partial 16S ribosomal RNA". Lineage: Eukaryota; Metazoa; Arthropoda; Insecta; Lepidoptera; Papilionidae. The record is from RNAcentral.
ACAUGUUUUUUUGAAAAUAAUUUAAAGUUUAAUCUGCCCACUGAUNAAAUUAUUAAAGGGCUGCAGUAUUUUGACUGUACAAAGGUAGCAUAAUCAUUAGUCUCUUAAUUGGUGACUUGUAUGAAAGAUUGGAUGAAAUAUAUACUGUCUCUAUUUAAUUUAUAAAAUUUAAUUUUUUAGUAAAAAAGCUAAAAUGAAUUUAAAAGACGAGAAGACCCUAUAGAGUUUGAUAAUUUAUUUAAUUAUUAUUAAUAUAUAAAUUUUAAAAUUAAAAUUAAAUAAAUUAUUUUGUUGGGGUGAUAGAAAAAUUAAAUUAACUUUUUUUUUAUUUUAUACAUUAAUUUAUGAAUGAAUGAUCCAUUAAUAAUGAUUAAAAGAAAAAAUUACCUUAGGGAUAACAGCGUAAUUUUUUUUUUUAGUUCAAAUAGGAAAAAAAGUUUGCGACCUCGAUGUUGGAUUAAGAUAAAAUUUAAAUGCAAAAGUUUAAAAUUUUGAUCUGUUCGAUCAUUAAAAUCUUA